Molecule: transfer RNA, 71 nt
Filed under: Haplomitrium hookeri
Lineage: Eukaryota; Viridiplantae; Streptophyta; Haplomitriopsida; Calobryales; Haplomitriaceae
Description: tRNA-Gly
Rfam family: tRNA
About the family: Transfer RNA (tRNA) molecules are approximately 80 nucleotides in length. Their secondary structure includes four short double-helical elements and three loops (D, anti-codon, and T loops). Further hydrogen bonds mediate the characteristic L-shaped molecular structure. tRNAs have two regions of fundamental functional importance: the anti-codon, which is responsible for specific mRNA codon recognition, and the 3' end, to which the tRNAs corresponding amino acid is attached (by aminoacyl-tRNA synthetases). tRNAs cope with the degeneracy of the genetic code in two manners: having more than one tRNA (with a specific anti-codon) for a particular amino acid; and 'wobble' base-pairing, i.e. permitting non-standard base-pairing at the 3rd anti-codon position.
Source: RNAcentral
GCGGAUAUGGAUUAGGGGUAAAUCAUCUGCCUUCCAAGCAGAGGAUAUGGGUUCGAUUCCCGUUAUCCGCA